GGGUUGUGAGGUUAAGCGACUAAGCGUACACGGUGGAUGCCCUGGCAGUCAGAGGCGAUGAAGGACGUGCUAAUCUGCGAAAAGCGUCGGUAAGGUGAUAUGAACCGUUAUAACCGGCGAUGUCCGAAUGGGGAAACCCAGUGCAAUUCGUUGCACUAUCGUUAACUGAAUACAUAGGUUAACGAGGCGAACCGGGGGAACUGAAACAUCUAAGUACCCCGAGGAAAAAGAAAUCAACCGAGAUUCCCCCAGUAGCGGCGAGCGAACGGGGAGCAGCCCAGAGUCUGAAUCAGCUUGUGUGUUAGUGGAACGGUCUGGAAAGUCCGACGGUACAGGGUGAUAGUCCCGUACACCAAAAUGCACAGGCUGUGAACUCGAAGAGUAGGGCGGGACACGUGGUAUCCUGUCUGAAUAUGGGGGGACCAUCCUCCAAGGCUAAAUACUCCUGACUGACCGAUAGUGAACCAGUACCGUGAGGGAAAGGCGAAAAGAACCCCGGCGAGGGGAGUGAAAAAGAACCUGAAACCGUGUACGUACAAGCAGUGGGAGCACCUUCGGGUGUGACUGCGUACCUUUUGUAUAAUGGGUCAGCGACUUAUAUUCUGUAGCAAGGUUAACCGUAUAGGGGAGCCGCAGGGAAACCGAGUCUUAACUGGGCGUUAAGUUGCAGGGUAUAGACCCGAAACCCGGUGAUCUAGCCAUGGGCAGGUUGAAGGUUGGGUAACACUAACUGGAGGACCGAACCGACUAAUGUUGAAAAAUUAGCGGAUGACUUGUGGCUGGGGGUGAAAGGCCAAUCAAACCGGGAGAUAGCUGGUUCUCCCCGAAAGCUAUUUAGGUAGCGCCUCGUGAAUUCAUCUUCGGGGGUAGAGCACUGUUUCGGCUAGGGGGUCAUCCCGACUUACCAACCCGAUGCAAACUACGAAUACCGAAGAAUGUUAUCACGGGAGACACACGGCGGGUGCUAACGUCCGUCGUGAAGAGGGAAACAACCCAGACCGCCAGCUAAGGUCCCAAAGUCAUGGUUAAGUGGGAAACGAUGUGGGAAGGCACAGACAGCCAGGAUGUUGGCUUAGAAGCAGCCAUCAUUUAAAGAAAGCGUAAUAGCUCACUGGUCGAGUCGGCCUGCGCGGAAGAUGUAACGGGGCUAAACCAUGCACCGAAGCUGCGGCAGCGACACUAUGUGUUGUUGGGUAGGGGAGCGUUCUGUAAGCCUGCGAAGGUGACCUGUGAGGGUUGCUGGAGGUAUCAGAAGUGCGAAUGCUGACAUAAGUAACGAUAAAGCGGGUGAAAAGCCCGCUCGCCGGAAGACCAAGGGUUCCUGUCCAACGUUAAUCGGGGCAGGGUGAGUCGACCCCUAAGGCGAGGCCGAAAGGCGUAGUCGAUGGGAAACAGGUUAAUAUUCCUGUACUUGGUGUUACUGCGAAGGGGGGACGGAGAAGGCUAUGUUAGCCGGGCGACGGUUGUCCCGGUUUAAGCAUGUAGGCUGGUUAUCCAGGCAAAUCCGGAUAAUCAAGGCUGAGGUGUGAUGACGAGGCACUACGGUGCUGAAGUAACAAAUGCCCUGCUUCCAGGAAAAGCCUCUAAGCAUCAGGUAACAUCAAAUCGUACCCCAAACCGACACAGGUGGUCAGGUAGAGAAUACCAAGGCGCUUGAGAGAACUCGGGUGAAGGAACUAGGCAAAAUGGUGCCGUAACUUCGGGAGAAGGCACGCUGGUGUGUAGGUGAAGUCCCUGCGGAUGGAGCUGAGACCAGUCGAAGAUACCAGCUGGCUGCAACUGUUUAUUAAAAACACAGCACUGUGCAAACACGAAAGUGGACGUAUACGGUGUGACGCCUGCCCGGUGCCGGAAGGUUAAUUGAUGGGGUUAUCCGUAAGGAGAAGCUCUUGAUCGAAGCCCCGGUAAACGGCGGCCGUAACUAUAACGGUCCUAAGGUAGCGAAAUUCCUUGUCGGGUAAGUUCCGACCUGCACGAAUGGCGUAAUGAUGGCCAGGCUGUCUCCACCCGAGACUCAGUGAAAUUGAACUCGCUGUGAAGAUGCAGUGUACCCGCGGCAAGACGGAAAGACCCCGUGAACCUUUACUAUAGCUUGACACUGAACAUUGAGCCUUGAUGUGUAGGAUAGGUGGGAGGCUUUGAAGCGUGGACGCCAGUCUGCGUGGAGCCAACCUUGAAAUACCACCCUUUAAUGUUUGAUGUUCUAACGUUGGCCCCUUACCGGGGUUGCGGACAGUGUCUGGUGGGUAGUUUGACUGGGGCGGUCUCCUCCCAAAGCGUAACGGAGGAGCACGAAGGUUAGCUAAUCCUGGUCGGACAUCAGGAGGUUAGUGCAAUGGCAUAAGCUAGCUUGACUGCGAGCGUGACGGCGCGAGCAGGUGCGAAAGCAGGUCAUAGUGAUCCGGUGGUUCUGAAUGGAAGGGCCAUCGCUCAACGGAUAAAAGGUACUCCGGGGAUAACAGGCUGAUACCGCCCAAGAGUUCAUAUCGACGGCGGUGUUUGGCACCUCGAUGUCGGCUCAUCACAUCCUGGGGCUGAAGUAGGUCCCAAGGGUAUGGCUGUUCGCCAUUUAAAGUGGUACGCGAGCUGGGUUUAGAACGUCGUGAGACAGUUCGGUCCCUAUCUGCCGUGGGCGCUGGAGAAUUGAGGGGGGCUGCUCCUAGUACGAGAGGACCGGAGUGGACGCAUCACUGGUGUUCGGGUUGUCAUGCCAAUGGCACUGCCCGGUAGCUAAAUGCGGAAGAGAUAAGUGCUGAAAGCAUCUAAGCACGAAACUUGCCCCGAGAUGAGUUCUCCCUGAGACUUUAAGUCUCCUGAAGGAACGUUAAAGACGACGUUGAUAGGCCGGGUGUGUAAGCGCAGCGAUGCGUUGAGCUAACCGGUACUAAUGAACCGUGAGGCUUAACCUUACAACGCCGAAG
RNAcentral lists this ribosomal RNA (2921 nucleotides) under Klebsiella pneumoniae. RNAcentral describes it as "bacterial LSU rRNA". It matches the Rfam family "Bacterial large subunit ribosomal RNA". The record is from RNAcentral. Lineage: Bacteria; Pseudomonadati; Pseudomonadota; Gammaproteobacteria; Enterobacterales; Enterobacteriaceae.